UCCCUCUCAGAAUUACAUCUGGAGAGUUUUCAGUCCUCUAACAGUCUUGGCUAUGGGAGGGAGAGUCAAGCAGAGGCCUACUCAUUCCAUUCCUAGCUUGGUCGGUGGUUAGCCAGUGGAAGGCAAUCUGCUACAAGU
Ornithorhynchus anatinus (platypus) is the source of this 138-nucleotide small nucleolar RNA. NCBI's taxonomy places the organism in Eukaryota, Metazoa, Chordata, Mammalia, Monotremata, Ornithorhynchidae. The record is from RefSeq and is a predicted model, not a curated record.